ACAAAGGCUCUUUUCAGAGCCAAUAAAAUAAAAUAAAACUGCCCAG
Apaloderma vittatum (bar-tailed trogon) is the source of this 46-nucleotide non-coding RNA. NCBI's taxonomy places the organism in Eukaryota, Metazoa, Chordata, Aves, Trogoniformes, Trogonidae. The record is from Rfam.